Molecule: ribosomal RNA, 440 nt
Filed under: uncultured bacterium
Lineage: Bacteria
Description: partial 16S ribosomal RNA
Rfam family: Bacterial small subunit ribosomal RNA
Source: RNAcentral
CCUACGGGUGGCAGCAGUGGGGGAUAUUGCACAAUGGGGGAAACCCUGAUGCAGCGACGCCGCGUGUGGGAAGACGGUCCUCUGGAUUGUAAACCACUGUCCCCAGGGACGAAGAUGACGGUACCUGGGGAGGACGCUCCGGCUAACUACGUGCCAGCAGCCGCGGUAAUACGUAGGGAGCGAGCGUUGUCCGGAAUUACGGGGUGAAAAGGGAGCGUAGGCGGGGAUGCAAGUUGGGUGUCAAAACUACCGGCUCAACUGGUAGUCGCACUCAAAACUGCAGCUCUUGAGUGAAGUAGAGGCAGGCGGAAUUCCUAGUGUAGCGGUGAAAUGCGUAGAUAUUAGGAGGAACACCAGUGGCGAAGGCGGCCUGCUGGGCUGUUACUGACGCUGAGGCUCGAAAGUGUGGGGAGCAAACAGGAUUAGAUAGCCUAGUAGUC